CAAAGUCAUUUUUAAUGAAAUUUGCAAUUUAUGUUCUGUAUCAUUAUCGUUUUGUUCUGUCAAAAUCAUCAUCGUUUGAUUUAACAUGACUUAUUCGCAUUUCUUUGAAAUUCUCCAUAUUAUUAAACAUUGAGAUGAUAAACAUUGAAUAUACAAGUCAAUUAGUAUUCAAAUAUAAUUCAGCUGAUAAAUAUCAUUGCGCCGAGGUACGCAGUAUGUAAAUAUUAUGCGACAAUAGAAAGUCGUAUGACCUGCUAGUGAAUACAAUAGGAAUUAAAAGUGAUAUCAAGGAAUGUGCUUCACUUCCGUCAAGUCGUUACCGAAACAAAGGGGGAUUUAUAAAAACCGGUAAGUGCAUCGGUUAAGUUCAUAAAGAAUGCAAAACACUACAUGAAUUCUCAGUACGUGUGUAUUCGAACUUUGCUGGAAGUCUGUGCAUAU
Molecule: unclassified non-coding RNA, 441 nt
Filed under: Apis dorsata (giant honeybee)
Lineage: Eukaryota; Metazoa; Arthropoda; Insecta; Hymenoptera; Apidae
Description: uncharacterized LOC116186455, transcript variant X3
Source: RNAcentral